UAACACAUGCAAGUCGUACGGGAGUUUUUAACUCAAGUGGCGGACGGGUGAGUAACACGUGGAAUUUACCUUUAGGAGGGGGACAACAACUGGAAACGGUUGCUAAUACCCCAUAUGCUUUCGAGUGAAAUGAAUUUAUUCGCCUGAAGAGAAGCUCGCGCCUGAUUAGCUUGUUGGUAGGGUAAGAGCCUACCAAGGCGACGAUCAGUAUCUGGUUUGAGAGGACGAUCAGACACACUGGAACUGAGACACGGUCCAGACUCCUACGGGAGGCAGCAGUGGGGAAUUUUCCGCAAUGGGCGAAAGCCUGACGGAGCAAUACCGCGUGAGGGAAGACGGCCUAUGGGUUGUAAACCUCUUUUUUCAGGGAGGAAUUCAAUGACGUGUACCUGAAGAAUAAGCAUCGGCUAACUCCGUGCCAGCAGCGG
This 428-nucleotide ribosomal RNA is filed under the name uncultured bacterium. RNAcentral describes it as "bacterial SSU rRNA". It matches the Rfam family "Bacterial small subunit ribosomal RNA", at positions 49 to 517 of the family's 1533-position model. The record is from RNAcentral.